Molecule: ribosomal RNA, 309 nt
Filed under: uncultured Planctomycetota bacterium
Lineage: Bacteria; Pseudomonadati; Planctomycetota
Description: bacterial SSU rRNA
Rfam family: Bacterial small subunit ribosomal RNA
Source: RNAcentral
AAUGAACGUUGGCGGCGUGGAUUAGGCAUGCAAGUCGAGCGAGAACUAGUAGCAAUACUGGGGAAAGCGGCGAAAGGGAGAGUAAUACGUAGGUACCUACCCUCGGGUCUGGGAUAGCUGCGGGAAACUGCAAUUAAUACCGGAUGAUGUCUCUGGACCAAAGGUGUGAUUCCGCCAGGGGGAUGGGCCUGCGUCCUAUUAGCUUGUUGGCGGGGUAACGGCCCACCAAGGCAAAGAUGGGUACGGGGUGUGAGAGCAUGCCCCCGCUCACUGGGACUGAGACACUGCCCAGACACCUACGGGUGGCUG